RNAcentral lists this ribosomal RNA (305 nucleotides) under uncultured bacterium. RNAcentral's name for it is "bacterial SSU rRNA". It matches the Rfam family "Bacterial small subunit ribosomal RNA", at positions 333 to 635 of the family's 1533-position model. The record is from RNAcentral.
AGUUACCUACGGGGGGCAGCAGUGAGGAAUAUUGGUCAAUGGGCGGAAGCCUGAACCAGCCAAGUCGCGUGAGGGAAUAAGGCCCUACGGGUCGUAAACCUCUUUUGCCGGGGAGCAAGGGCCGGGACGAGUCCCGGUCCGGAGAGUACCCGGAGAAAAAGCAUCGGCUAACUCCGUGCCAGCAGCCGCGGUAAUACGGAGGAUGCGAGCGUUAUCCGGAUUUAUUGGGUUUAAUGGGUGCGUAGGCGGGCUUUUAAGUCAGCGGUAAAAAUUCGGGGCUCAAUCCCGUCCGGCCGUUGAAACUG